This 459-nucleotide ribosomal RNA is filed under the name Veillonella parvula. RNAcentral describes it as "bacterial SSU rRNA". It matches the Rfam family "Bacterial small subunit ribosomal RNA", at positions 28 to 464 of the family's 1533-position model. Lineage: Bacteria; Bacillati; Bacillota; Negativicutes; Veillonellales; Veillonellaceae. The record is from RNAcentral.
GACGAACGCUGGCGGCGUGCUUAACACAUGCAAGUCGAACGAAGAGCGAUGGAAGCUUGCUUCUAUCAAUCUUAGUGGCGAACGGGUGAGUAACGCGUAAUCAACCUGCCCUUCAGAGGGGGAUAACAGUUGGAAACGACUGCUAAUACCGCAUACGAUCUAAUCUCGGCAUCGAGGAUAGAUGAAAGGUGGCCUCUACAUGUAAGCUAUCACUGAAGGAGGGGAUUGCGUCUGAUUAGCUAGUUGGAGGGGUAACGGCCCACCAAGGCGAUGAUCAGUAGCCGGUCUGAGAGGAUGAACGGCCACAUUGGGACUGAGACACGGCCUAGACUCCUACGGGAGGCAGCAGUGGGGAAUCUUCCGCAAUGGACGAAAGUCUGACGGAGCAACGCCGCGUGAGUGAUGACGGCCUUCGGGUUGUAAAGCUCUGUUAAUCGGGACGAAAGGCCUUCUUGCGAA